AGAGUUUGAUCCUGGCUCAGGACGAACGCUGGCGGCGUGCUUAACACAUGCAAGUCGAGCGGAAAGGCCCUUCGGGGUACUCGAGCGGCGAACGGGUGAGUAACACGUGAGCAAUCUGCCCCUAGCUUCGGGAUAGCUCCCGGAAACGGGAAUUAAUACCGAAUAUGACCACGGCCGACAUCAGCUGUGGUGGAAAGUUU
Molecule: ribosomal RNA, 200 nt
Filed under: uncultured bacterium
Lineage: Bacteria
Description: partial 16S ribosomal RNA
Rfam family: Bacterial small subunit ribosomal RNA
Source: RNAcentral